UACGAAGGGGGCUAGCGUUGUUCGGAUUUACUGGGCGUACAGGGAGCGUAGGCGGUUGGAUAAGCCCUCCGUGAAAUCUCCCGGCUCAACUGGGAGGGUGCGCCGAAUACUGAAUGACUUGGAGUGCGGGAGAGGAGAGUGGAAUUCCUGGUGUAGCGGUGAAAUGCGUAGAUAUCGAGAGGAACACCUGCGGCGAAGGCGGGUUGCUGGGCUGAUACUGACGCUGAGGCGCGAAAGCCAGGGGAGCGAACGGG
Molecule: ribosomal RNA, 254 nt
Filed under: uncultured bacterium
Lineage: Bacteria
Description: partial 16S ribosomal RNA
Rfam family: Bacterial small subunit ribosomal RNA
Source: RNAcentral